RNAcentral lists this long non-coding RNA (277 nucleotides) under Elaeis guineensis (African oil palm). RNAcentral describes it as "long non-coding RNA (EGUI_LNC033548)". The record is from RNAcentral. Lineage: Eukaryota; Viridiplantae; Streptophyta; Magnoliopsida; Arecales; Arecaceae.
AGGCUCAUCGGCGCGGUGCUUCCAGAGGGGUUUAAUGGCGAGAUGCUCAUCCUUGGCCUUGAUCAGGAAAUGGUGGUGGUGAUGGUGGUGCAUGAGGGAUCGGGGGAGGAGGUAGGGCUUCUUGGAGGCGAAGGUAGGGGAGGGAAGAUUGUCGAGGUCAUCCAUGAGGUCCCAGGCAUUAAUGACGGUGGUGGGUGAGGCAGAGGUAGCGGUGAGCUGGGGAUUGGGGUCGUCUAGGGUUUUGAGGGAGCCGUAGGUAGUAGAGGUGAGGGAGAUG